Molecule: non-coding RNA, 99 nt
Organism: Acanthosepion pharaonis
Lineage: Eukaryota; Metazoa; Mollusca; Cephalopoda; Sepiida; Sepiidae
Source: the annotation of a GenBank genome assembly
GUUGAAACAUCAGUUCCCGUACGAUCACCGAAGUUAAGCAACGUCGAGGUUGGUCAGCACCUAGAUGGGUAACUGAUAGGGAGUACCAGGAGUUGUAAG